UGCCAGCGAGGAGCCGGGGAAGGAGAGGAAGCAUAGCUUCCGGAGGCAGAGCCGGCCUCAGCGGGACAGGCGGGCCUCUCUGCCCUGUUCGGCCCAGCUUGACACUCUGCAGCUGAACUAUCUCCACAGUGCCACUAUGGCACCCACUCCAGUACCUCUGAAGCUCAGGGAUGACACAGAGUCGAGAGCGAAUCCACGGGACCGCCGGGUCUCUUCCGUUGAGGCUUCGAAGCAUCCGCAAACAGAAAACCACACGAUACCGACCAUCCCUGAGCUCUCUGAGACCUUUGAGAAGAAGCUGCGCUUUCGAAGCAGAAAUGUCAUGUCCUUGAGCGAUGCUGACAAUGUGUGUCUCAUCUGCCACAAUGAAAUGCGAAAUGAUGGUGGUGCGGUCCGAGAGCUACACUGUUCGCAUCGCUUCCACAGAGAGUGCAUUGAGCGAUGGCUGUGGAAGGAACAGUUAUGUCCCACCUGCAGCGUCCACGUAGCCAUGCCCGAGCCCCUGUACUGGUCCUCCACGCACCUCAAAGUACCCUGAUCAGAGGGUACCCUCAGCUUUCAGACUAGGACCUGAUUUCCUUCCACCUACCACGGCUGGACACCCACCAGAGACCCAUACUGGCAGUCAAAGGCUUCUUCCUUCUUUACACCAGAGCUUCGGAACACCUCUCCAGGCUCAUAAUAUGUGACGACGUCCUAAGUCCUCUGUGCACAUUAGAUUACAGCAUCUGAACAAAACUUCAGAACCAUGACCCGCAUGCAUAUUAUGUAAGGAGAUCAUGCCAAAUGCAAAUCCAAGUAACAGCACAAUUUUUACAACUUUCUUUAUUCAGCCAAUAUAGUGAGAUCUCACAACAGCAGGUAGUGAAAGCUCAUUUUUACCAGGUUUUAACAACUCUUUCCUAUUAUCCAUUUUGACUUUUAUACAACACACUUUUAAUGCCAAACUACAGGGAAAACUAAGAUAAAGGAUAUUUUUUUUAGCAAUGGUUCUGUAACCUGUGGUUAUUACAAGGUGUUUACUAAUGAUAUUUGAAAAUUAUACCUAAAAGGUAUAUCUGUACUGUAUCAAAUGUGGAUAAAUAGCAUUUUUACCUUUCAUUAAUUUAACUGAACACUGCAGUAUACAGCCUAUGCUUAUCUGACAGCACACUGUCUGUCAUACUCAAAUACAGUACUGGUGCUGUAAAAUUAGGACAACCAAUGCCAAUGUAGAGAUGCCUUUUGAUGACUUUAUAUAAACUUGGCAACUAAUUUCUUGUGAUCUAUAGUAAGAUCUGUAGUAUCUAUGUGAUGGUUUCCAUUACUGUUUCAAUGUCAUUUUCAUAAUUUUUAUUUGAAUAAAACUUGCAUCGUAACUAUUUUCCUUGUAACA
This 1375-nucleotide long non-coding RNA is filed under the name Scleropages formosus (Asian bonytongue). RNAcentral's name for it is "lncRNA (ENSSFOG00015030862.1)". Lineage: Eukaryota; Metazoa; Chordata; Actinopteri; Osteoglossiformes; Osteoglossidae. The record is from RNAcentral.